RNAcentral lists this ribosomal RNA (206 nucleotides) under uncultured bacterium. Its description in RNAcentral is "partial 16S ribosomal RNA". It matches the Rfam family "Bacterial small subunit ribosomal RNA", at positions 568 to 774 of the family's 1533-position model. The record is from RNAcentral.
CGAGUAGGUGGCCAUCUAAGUCAGACGUGAAAUCCCCCGGCUUAACCUGGGAACUGCGUCUGAUACUGGACGGCUUGAGUAUGGGAGAGGGAUGUAGAAUUCCAGGUGUAGCGGUGAAAUGCGUAGAUAUCUGGAGGAAUACCGGUGGCGAAGGCGGCAUCCUGGACCAUUACUGACACUGAACCGCGAAAGCUAGGGAGCAAACG